UUUACAGGGCUGGUAUUGCUGAGUUCAUAGCCACUUUCUUGUUCCUUUACAUCACUGUCUUGACUGUCAUGGGUGUUACUAAGCCUGGUACCAGCAAAUGUUCCACUGUUGGUAUUCAAGGCAUUGCUUGGGCUUUUGGUGGCAUGAUCUUUGCCCUUGUUUACUGCACUGCUGGUAUCUCAGGUAAUAAAUGAUAAAGAUGCCUCCUUCUCUCUCUCUCUCUCUUUUUGUUAUACCUGCUUAGCCUUGGAUAAUUCUCUCUUGUUUUUUCUAAAUAAGCCUUCUUACUGGGUUCUGCCUCUUAAAUGUUCAGUCUCUCUUGCUAAUACCGGUUUUCUCUGGUUUUCCUUCUUUUUACCUGUUAAAGUCCAGGAUGGUGUAUAGUACUAACUAGAUCUGCAUGUGCUCAGGUGGACACAUCAACCCAGCUGUGACCUUUGGGCUGUUUUUGGCAAGGAAGCUCUCUUUGACAAGGGCUGUGUUUUACAUCAUCAUGCAGUGCCUUGGUGCAAUCUGUGGUGCUGGUGUAGUGAAGGGUCUCCAAGGAAGCCACAACUACGAGCUUCAGGGUGGCGGAGCUAAUGUUGUGAAUCAUGGAUACACCAAGGGUGAUGGCCUUGGUGCGGAGAUAGUCGGUACCUUUGUUCUUGUCUACACUGUCUUCUCUGCUACUGAUGCCAAGAGAAACGCUAGAGACUCUCAUGUCCCUGUAAGUACUCUUUGGUUUUGUUUUACUCCAUGUGUUUUCCUUUUUAACUUUAUAACAGUCCUUACCGUGUCGAUUGAUGCUAUGUGAUUGUUUUACAGACUCUACUAUGUUUUUCUGUGUUUCUUGUUGCUUUUUAUUGCUCGAUUGUUUCAUGGACGUCUCGUUGACAGGCAUGGUUCUUGGUUUGCAAGAAAUUGUUGGUUUUUUCUUUUACCAAGAUCUUUAAUAUGGGUUACAAUCACGUUUUCCAAGUUUGUGCCAUGUUUGGUAGGUCGUUUCAAACUGUGAUUGCGUUUUUAAAAUAUAUUUGUCUUGAAAUAACAUUUUUUUUAUAGUGCUUUUGGAUAUUUUGAUGAGCUAAUGUUAAAAAUAAAAAAGAAAUUCCCAGAAAAAACAACUUUUGAAAAUCACCCACAGAAUCAAACACGCAAUUAGACAGGUAUAGAUGUGUGGUUUUCAUCUAGGGUGUGGUUUCUGGUUUCAAGUUUCCUGAAAUCUUUUUACAGAGACUGGUGGGUGUGGCUGGGUAGUUUGUCUGCUUUCUUUGCUUUGGAAGGUGGAGGGUGUGAUGGUAACUUUGAUAAUGAUGUUUCACCUUUUGGUAGGUUUCUUUUGCCAAAAAAGAGAAAAUUGAUGAUGGUGAAUAUGAAAUGUCUGCAACUUUAGCAUGCGCUCUAGUAAUUAGCACUCUUGGAGUGCUUAGUCCUGUGUGCUAUGCAACCUGCCAGAGUACAUCUUCUUUAAAAAAGUUGUAGCCCCCUCCAUUAUCAAAAAAUAACCACGCGGUGCCAAUCCGUUCCUCUUAUGCUUUUUACCAUGUCCACUAGCUGCUCCACUGCUAUUAUUUUUAUCAUAUGCUUUUUUUUGCAGUGUUCGAAUGUUCUAUGUUAUGGGUACUGCAUUGAGUUAUAUUUGGUGGCUUCAUCUGUUGAUAGUCACAAGGAAUAGGUUAAUAUCAAUUGAUGGAUAUUAGUGUGGUUUGUCAGUGGUUUUUGGACCUCCACGGACACAUGCUAGCCAUGCGUGCCUUUUGCUUCGUUUGGCUUGCACAUGAUGUUAAUGGUUUCCAAUAACAUCAUGAUAUAUAUAUAUGUGUGUGUGUGUGUGUGUGUGUGUUCUUUCUGGUAACUGCUGCAAAUUGAUUUGGCUGAUGAGAAAUACAAUCAGGGGCAUGCUCUCAUUUAUGUAAUUCAUGGUUAUUCUGCAG
Molecule: long non-coding RNA, 1916 nt
Filed under: Populus trichocarpa (black cottonwood)
Lineage: Eukaryota; Viridiplantae; Streptophyta; Magnoliopsida; Malpighiales; Salicaceae
Description: long non-coding RNA (PTRI_LNC000976)
Source: RNAcentral